GACGUAGGGUCCAAGCGUUGUCCGGAUUUACUGGGCGUAAAGAGCGCGUAGGCGGUCUGUUAAGUGUAGAGUGAAAGCUCCGGGCUCAACCCGGAAAUUGCUCUGCAUACUGGCAGACUUGAGGAUGGAAGAGGUUUGUGGAAUUCCUGGUGUAGCGGUGAAAUGCAUUGAGAUCGGAAAGAACACCAACGGCGAAAGCACUCUGCUGGGCCGACACUGACACUGAGAGACGAAAGCUAGGGGAGCAAAUGGG
Molecule: ribosomal RNA, 253 nt
Filed under: uncultured bacterium
Lineage: Bacteria
Description: partial 16S ribosomal RNA
Rfam family: Bacterial small subunit ribosomal RNA
Source: RNAcentral